Triticum dicoccoides is the source of this 1002-nucleotide long non-coding RNA. RefSeq lists it as uncharacterized. Lineage: Eukaryota; Viridiplantae; Streptophyta; Magnoliopsida; Poales; Poaceae. The record is from RefSeq and is a predicted model, not a curated record. The transcript has 5 exons.
CAGAGACUUAGCGGCCGCCCCAGAUCUAGCCCAAAUCACCAUCUGCUCCAACCCUAGCCGCCGCCAACACGAGACGACGCCGAGCACCCACCACUGCCCGACCCCAGCCGCCCUUGACCACCCAUCGCAGCAGCUGUCCUCUCGGACCACCGCCGCCGCCGAGCACCCUCCUCCGUCGCCGUCAAGUACCCUCCUACGCAGAUCUCGUUCGCCCUCCGCCCAUCCCCAGCGCCGCCCAGAUGUCGCCUCUCCUUCCAUGCUUUCUCCCCGGGCGGCACCGUCUCUCCUAGGGUUUGCGCCACCGACCAUCAUGCUCUCCAGCCUAUCGUCCUUCGUCCGUGCUCCUCCGACCUCCCCCUUUUGUACUUCGAGCGCAAGCAGAGCACUCUGAUGGAAGAAGUCAGCCUCAGUCAGUGCAAACUAUGGCUCUAGAAAUAGUUGCCGCUUUGUUUUACUGAAUGAACCAUCUUUUGGUGGUGCUUGAGUCAUGGGCAUAGAUGCAUCUAACCAAAUAAUGCUUGCUUCUGGGAAGGCACCUAGUGUAGGUGGAGAACAUGUUCUAAGAAAGCGGCUCCAAAAAGAUUUUUCUGCUUCUGCUAUGGGACCUUGCAUGUGGGAUGAUGAGGGCAAUCAAAGCAGGUUUUCCAAAGAUACACAAGUUGAUGGAGGAUUGCAAGAUCUACAUACAAGCGGUUGACGGUUUGGAAGUUCUACAGCGGCUGAAGGUUUGGAGGACAUACAAUUAAGUUGGUGUAGUGAUAAUGUAGUGCACCUAGUUUGUUGAACCUGGAGACAUUGGCAAGUUCUGCUUAUUUUGGUGGUUGUUUUGGUACACAAGCCACUGGAUUCUCAUUUUGGUUGUGUGGCACAUUUAGAAACAUACGUACUAUUUUGUGCCAGCACAAGUCCUUAUGUAUGGUUGUUUCCUAUAUGUAUGUAUCCAGAAACAUAUGUAUCUGGCAUGUUAUGUUUAUAUUGAAGGAAAUUUAAGGUUUUUGAUGA